This 663-nucleotide ribosomal RNA is filed under the name Salmonella enterica subsp. enterica serovar Enteritidis. RNAcentral describes it as "partial 23S ribosomal RNA". It matches the Rfam family "Bacterial large subunit ribosomal RNA", at positions 711 to 1371 of the family's 2925-position model. Lineage: Bacteria; Pseudomonadati; Pseudomonadota; Gammaproteobacteria; Enterobacterales; Enterobacteriaceae. The record is from RNAcentral.
AGACCCGAAACCCGGUGAUCUAGCCAUGGGCAGGUUGAAGGUUGGGUAACACUAACUGGAGGACCGAACCGACUAAUGUUGAAAAAUUAGCGGAUGACCUGUGGCUGGGGGUGAAAGGCCAAUCAAACCGGGAGAUAGCUGGUUCUCCCCGAAAGCUAUUUAGGUAGCGCCUCGUGAAUUCAUCUCCGGGGGUAGAGCACUGUUUCGGCUAGGGGGCCAUCCCGGCUUACCAACCCGAUGCAAACUGCGAAUACCGGAGAAUGUUAUCACGGGAGACACACGGCGGGUGCUAACGUCCGUCGUGAAGAGGGAAACAACCCAGACCGCCAGCUAAGGUCCCAAAGUCAUGGUUAAGUGGGAAACGAUGUGGGAAGGCCCAGACAGCCAGGAUGUUGGCUUAGAAGCAGCCAUCAUUUAAAGAAAGCGUAAUAGCUCACUGGUCGAGUCGGCCUGCGCGGAAGAUGUAACGGGGCUAAACCAUGCACCGAAGCUGCGGCAGCGACACUGUGUGUUGUUGGGUAGGGGAGCGUUCUGUAAGCCUGCGAAGGUGGCCUGUGAGGGUUGCUGGAGGUAUCAGAAGUGCGAAUGCUGACAUAAGUAACGAUAAAGCGGGUGAAAAGCCCGCUCGCCGGAAGACCAAGGGUUCCUGUCCAACGUUAAUCG